RNAcentral lists this long non-coding RNA (386 nucleotides) under Mytilus galloprovincialis (Mediterranean mussel). Lineage: Eukaryota; Metazoa; Mollusca; Bivalvia; Mytilida; Mytilidae. The record is from RNAcentral.
GGUCGAUUGAUUUUAAUCCUGAAUAUCAUAAUUUAAACAAAACACUAUAAAUCAAUAUACGUGACUGUGUAUAUUAACAAUAAAAAUAAGUGAAAAACAAAACUGUUAGUAUUUCUUAUUGAUGCCGUUUGGGUGAUGUACAUUAAGUUCCUUUAUCCAAAAGCUUUCCCGAACCUGUCGCUGUGCAUCACUCCAGUGAAUGUUCUGUUCAAUCACUAGAAUUUUCAUGCGGUUAAAGUCAUCAAGUUUGUGACCCGACUGUCUGAAGUGCUGAGAGACUGGAAGAAGUGGCUUCUUAGAGAUAUCACUCCUAUGGCCAUUGAGGCGUUUGUGGAAAGGCUGCUUUGACUCACCAACAUAUUGGAGGCCACAAACCGAACAUUCUA